CAUGGCUCAGGACGAACGCUGGCGGCGUGCCUAAUACAUGCAAGUAGAACGCUGAAGAGAGGAGCUUGCUCUUCUUGGAUGAGUUGCGAACGGGUGAGUAACGCGUGGGUAACAUGCCUGGUAGCGGGGGAUAACUAUUGGAAACGCUAGCUAAUACCGCAUGAAAUGGAUUAUCGCAUGAUAAUCGAUUGAAAGGUGCAAAGGCAUCACUACCAGAUGGACCUGCGUUGUAUUAGCUAGUUGGUGAGGUAACGGCUCACCAAGGCGACGAUACAUAGCCGACCUGAGAGGGUGAUCGGCCACACUGGGACUGAGACACGGCCCAGACUCCUACGG
Molecule: ribosomal RNA, 336 nt
Filed under: uncultured bacterium
Lineage: Bacteria
Description: bacterial SSU rRNA
Rfam family: Bacterial small subunit ribosomal RNA
Source: RNAcentral